RNAcentral lists this ribosomal RNA (382 nucleotides) under uncultured bacterium. RNAcentral describes it as "bacterial SSU rRNA". It matches the Rfam family "Bacterial small subunit ribosomal RNA", at positions 30 to 416 of the family's 1533-position model. The record is from RNAcentral.
AUUGAACGCUGGCGGCAUGCCUUACACAUGCAAGUCGAACGGCAGCACGGGGGCAACCCUGGUGGCGAGUGGCGAACGGGUGAGUAACAUAUCGGAACGUGCCCUGGAGUGGGGGAUAACUAGUCGAAAGACUAGCUAAUACCGCAUACGAUCUACGGAUGAAAGUGGGGAUCGCAAGACCUCAUGCUCGUGGAGCGGCCGAUAUCUGAUUAGCAGUUGGUGGGGUAAGGCCUACCAAGGCAUCGAUCAGUAGCUGGUCUGAGAGGACGACCAGCCACACUGGGACUGAGACACGGCCCAGACUCCUACGGGAGGCAGCAGUGGGGAAUUUUGGACAAUGGGGCAACCCUGAUCCAGCAAUGCCGCGUGAGUGAAGAAGGCC